AGAUUGAACGCUGGCGGCAUGCCUUACACAUGCAAGUCGAACGGUAGAGUAGCAAUACUCGAGAGUGGCGAACGGGUGAGUAAUAUAUCGGAACGUGCCCAGUCGUGGGGGAUAACGUAGAGAAAUUUACGCUAAUACCGCAUACGAUCUACGGAUGAAAGCGGGGGAUCGCAAGACCUCGCGCGAUUGGGAGCGGCUGAUAUCAGAUUAGGUUGUUGGUGAGGUAAAAGCUCACCAAGCCGACGAUCUGUAGCUGGUUUGAGAGAACGACCAGCCACACUGGGACUGAGACACGGCCCAGACUCCUACGGGAGGCAGCA
Molecule: ribosomal RNA, 320 nt
Filed under: uncultured soil bacterium
Lineage: Bacteria
Description: bacterial SSU rRNA
Rfam family: Bacterial small subunit ribosomal RNA
Source: RNAcentral